Sinocyclocheilus anshuiensis is the source of this 134-nucleotide long non-coding RNA. RefSeq lists it as uncharacterized. Lineage: Eukaryota; Metazoa; Chordata; Actinopteri; Cypriniformes; Cyprinidae. The record is from RefSeq and is a predicted model, not a curated record. The transcript is spliced from 3 exons.
CUAAUUCUGUGGACAAGUGACCGAUUCCAGCUGCAGCUUCAGCGUCUAUUUUAUAGUGUAGGGGGCUGGCGCUUUGGAUUCUAGACAGCAUUUGAUUGGACAGAAAGUUUGAUGAGAAGCUGAAGUACGAUCUG